ACUUUCAACAACGGAUCUCUUGGUUCUGGCAUCGAUGAAGAACGCAGCGAAAUGCGAUAAGUAAUGUGAAUUGCAGAAUUCAGUGAAUCAUCGAAUCUUUGAACGCACAUUGCGCCCUCUGGUAUUCCGGGGGGCAUGCCUGUUCGAGCGUCAUUACAACCCUCAAGCUCU
Molecule: ribosomal RNA, 171 nt
Filed under: Antarctomyces psychrotrophicus
Lineage: Eukaryota; Fungi; Ascomycota; Leotiomycetes; Thelebolales; Thelebolaceae
Description: 5.8S ribosomal RNA
Rfam family: 5.8S ribosomal RNA (bases 1-153)
About the family: 5.8S ribosomal RNA (5.8S rRNA) is a component of the large subunit of the eukaryotic ribosome. It is transcribed by RNA polymerase I as part of the 45S precursor that also contains 18S and 28S rRNA. Functionally, it is thought that 5.8S rRNA may be involved in ribosome translocation.
Source: RNAcentral